Molecule: transfer RNA, 77 nt
Filed under: Clostridium sp.
Lineage: Bacteria; Bacillati; Bacillota; Clostridia; Eubacteriales; Clostridiaceae
Also listed under: 6 other names
Description: tRNA-Ile
Rfam family: tRNA
About the family: Transfer RNA (tRNA) molecules are approximately 80 nucleotides in length. Their secondary structure includes four short double-helical elements and three loops (D, anti-codon, and T loops).
Source: RNAcentral
GCUCCCUUAGCUCAGUUGGUCAGAGCAACCGGCUCAUAACCGGUGGGUCCAAGGUUCAAAUCCUUGAGGGAGCACCA